This is a long non-coding RNA of Oxyura jamaicensis (ruddy duck), 3446 nucleotides long. RefSeq lists it as uncharacterized. The record is from RefSeq and is a predicted model, not a curated record. The transcript is spliced from 4 exons. NCBI's taxonomy places the organism in Eukaryota, Metazoa, Chordata, Aves, Anseriformes, Anatidae.
CUUCCCUGCGUGUAGGCACCACUUUUAUUCCCAAACCCACACCUGCCUCCUUGCUGCAUGCCUGCAUCAAGUGGGGGACAUCCCACUUCCAUCACAUUCCCACAGUGAAAUGUUUGCAAGACCUUCUGCAGGAUUUGGUUGUGUUAAACCAUCGGUGCCAUAAGAAGAGGCUUUGCUAUUUCCUGUUUCUUCACAGAUUCAAGAAACCUCCAUCUGAGCAGUUCCCUUCUUGCAGUCAGGGCUGCGAGAGGCGCUGGCAAAGCCAAAACACGCCACCGUGGCCGGAGGGCUGCGGAAGGGACGGGACGUGGGGCAGCGGCUUCUCCUCGCCGGCUUUCCCACCUGCAGCUUUUGCAGAGCAUCUCCUCUGAUCGCUUCCAGCCUUCUCCUGACAAACAGCAAACUGAGAAGAAACAGCCUGUUCUGCAGGGCUCGCGGGCGCGGGGGUCAGGGGUCUCCGUUGCAUAGCCCCACGCAGCUGUUAAUCACCAGAAUAUCUCUGGCUCCCAGCAGCUGUCUGGUGUUUAUCUUAGCCUGGAUAUCUGCUGGCUGAGCCCGCCAAGAGCAGGCUGUGCAGCCAAGGCAAACACAAACGGAAGACAGAUAAUUUGCACACAAUGGUGCGCACGUGUGCUUGGUGCGCGCGCGCGUACGUGUGCAUGUGCGUGCACACACAGCCUUUGUUUAUGGCCCGCUGCUGGGGCUGGAGCUGAGCCCCCGCCCUUUCUGUCUGAAAUCAUUCAUUUUGUAGUUUUGUGGACGUCUCGGUGCAAACAAGAAGGGAGCCUCAAGUACACGAGCUGGGCAGGUGGUUAGGUGGGCGCUUCCAGGUGCACGGCUGUGACUCCGAUAAGAUCUCUCCCCCUGUGCUUUCUCUAAGCCUUAUGAGGUUAAUUAACAGAGUGUAAAAAUACAGGGCUGAUUCCAGGAUCGGUCAGCCUCAGAGGCUUCAAAGGUUGUCUCCAAGACAUUUCCCCAGCCACCUGGGGCUGGUUGGGAACCAUGAAGGAGGGAGAGGGCUGACAAAGUGAGCUGUCCCACCUGGAGGAGAGGAGCUCAGCCCUGUGAUCCGGUUGUUUUGUGAAGGUCAGAUAAUCCUGAGCUACCACGUAGCAGCUUGGAGCAGAGGAGGAGGUCCUGGCUGGCUCUGAGUUGCUGUUUGUGUGUGUGCAUGACAAGGCACUUCCGCGGCUCUGCUGGGACGGUUCCUCGCCGCCGCGGUCCGCUGGUGAGAUCAGACGUUACUGGAGAACAAGGUUUAACGUUACGCUGUAGAUUAUUCAGAACAAUCUGGAAAAAUGUAUAACCCGGUGCUGCUCAUGGUGCUUCCUCAGCCGAGGAGAGGAGCGUGGAGCCUGAGUGCAGCCGCCCAGCGAAGCAUCUGCCCCGUCCCUGUGCGCAGGAGCGAGACGGACGUGAAGCCGUAAUAAAGCUAAUGGAAGACCCAGCUGGACAAGGACAACUUUGGCUUGGGUUGAAAGCCGGAGGAAGCCUCUGCACUGCUGAUGCACAGAGGUAAAGAAUUACAAAGGCGAUGGGAGGGACCACAGUCAGCAGGAAAAGGACAGAAAGGCACUGAGGAGGAUCGGAUAUAUCAUGCUAUCACGUAGCUCGAGAGAUGCAAUAUCAGCAGCACCCGAAGACACCAGAGACCAAGAAACCGCUAGCAAGAAACGUGGGCGCGGAAGUAGUUGCACAGUGCAAUUAAUAAAACCUGACAAAGCUCCGGCUGCUGCCGCAGGCCAGCAAGGUUCUGGUAGUGCAGAGCUGAUGUCUGGGCUCAGCAGCGACAUCUGAAGCUGUCACAGAACAGAGGUCAGAGAACUGACACCGGCACAGGGCUGCAGCCGGGCAUCUGCUUCCCAUCUCGUUUUGCCCCGUGCUAGCGUAACCCCAUCACUCUGGGGGAAACUGCUGCUUUGUGUACGCAGGGGAAGGCAUUGCCUCCUAAAGCAGGAUCAGGCCCUGACCUCAGCCCACCGAGCCCUCAGGGGACAUGGCAAGUCCCUGGUCAUGUCCGCUGCUGACAGCCCCACGAGGGCUGGGUGGGUUUCCUCGCCUGUGGCUCUCCCUGGGGAGAGAGUUGGACCGGCAUCAUCCCUGGGGGAAACCUUCCCAGGGAGAAAGGAGGACCGAGGACAGAGGUGUUGACUGGCUUAAGAAAGCGAAGGGGAAGAAAAAAACAACCCCUGAGCUGCCAACAACUGUAAAACCCAGAUUAUUUGACCCGCACUUCACAGACAAGACAUUUUUGAUUCCAGUGCAAAGGAAUAUGGGCAAGACAUCAAGUUACAAGCCAGAAAUAUCAUGUAACCGGUAAUGGCCCUUUAUUGACAUAGGAAGUGGGAUGGUUUUGAUAAAAAUAAGAGCCCACACAAAUGAUUUUCUGUGCAUACAAUUCACAAGGAAAAUCUUUGAGGACUUUUUUGAAGGAAUGUGGUUAUUAUUUUUCCCUGUGUUCGUUUUGCUUGUUCCAUUAUUGAACAGAAAAGGAGUCGGUGGCAGGAGGAGAUGGAGCUUUCCCCCGUGCUCAAGGAGUCUGUGCAGUGGGUGUGCCCUGUGGCUUUUCCCUGAAACUGCCUGCCAGGAGCCUGGGCAAGGUGUGAGUGGUAGGAAUCGCUUCUCCCUGUGCCGAGAAGCACUUGAAACAAGUCUGCACAUACAUCGUGUUUUGGGCCAGUUUUCAGACUUAGUCCUCUCUGUCCGCAGUCAGUGUUUAUUGGGACAAAAAUGCAAGCGACCUACUUCACUGCUUACAGGUAGAACUACAAACGGGUUCAGUUCUUGGGAUGUUUUUAGUAACGUCUGUGUUUUGGAGGAGGCUGCACUGAAAAAUUUGAGAAGCUGAUGUGCUUCCUUUGUGGUGCAUCGCCCGGCUGACUUUUCAGGUUGCAUCCUGGGUGGCAAAGAAAGAUGCCCAUGCUUCGUCCUCUCUCCUCACUCUUCAGCAGCUUCUAGUGAUUCCCAUGCCAAAGCCACGUCCCACCAAGCUGCCGGCCUUCCUCACCCUGGGAGGAAAUAGCAGUCGAGCACCCCGUGGCCCUGGGGUUGCUGAACCCAGCAGUCCCAUUUUUGUGGUGUGUCUUUGUUGCCAGUUCUCUUCACCUAGUUUGAAACCAAAUGGUUCGUGAAGACCUACAUUAAUUUGGGAGGGACGGGGACUGACGUGUCAUUAAACAUGAUUAAUCUCUCGCUGUUGCCAGCCCUGCAGUAAUUUCUGGAGUGUUAUGGCUGCAUUUGUAGAGCGAAUCCCUGAACUUUUUGCAGACCUGUGGCCACACCAGCACCAGGCUCCCAGCAUUGUUUGUGUUCAAUUUCCUUAGUUUGCUUUUUUGUUGUUGUUUUUUGGGAAGGAGGAUGUAGAAGUAAGAAAUACGGGGGAAAGGUAAACAGGUCUGCGCUGGAUUUGUGCUCCCUAGUUGUUUGAAUGUGUGAUGUUAGAAAAA